Molecule: transfer RNA, 74 nt
Filed under: Bos taurus (domestic cattle)
Lineage: Eukaryota; Metazoa; Chordata; Mammalia; Artiodactyla; Bovidae
Also listed under: 5 other names
Rfam family: tRNA
About the family: Transfer RNA (tRNA) molecules are approximately 80 nucleotides in length. Their secondary structure includes four short double-helical elements and three loops (D, anti-codon, and T loops). Further hydrogen bonds mediate the characteristic L-shaped molecular structure. tRNAs have two regions of fundamental functional importance: the anti-codon, which is responsible for specific mRNA codon recognition, and the 3' end, to which the tRNAs corresponding amino acid is attached (by aminoacyl-tRNA synthetases). tRNAs cope with the degeneracy of the genetic code in two manners: having more than one tRNA (with a specific anti-codon) for a particular amino acid; and 'wobble' base-pairing, i.e. permitting non-standard base-pairing at the 3rd anti-codon position.
Source: Rfam by way of RNAcentral
UCCUUGGUGGUCCAGUGGUUAAGACUCUGCACUUCUAACUACAGGGGACAUGGGUUCAAUUCCUAGUCGGGGAA